UAUGACGGCAGUGCCCAGAGGUGUCAUCCCAGUGCCCAGACACUGGGAUCCAGAAAACUUAACUUUAAAUAAGUGGCUGCAUAAUAAAGACUAGAUUCCAGUGUCACGCACUGGCAUGACACCAUAGAGGCACUGGGA
This 138-nucleotide non-coding RNA is filed under the name Trichomalopsis sarcophagae. Its description in RNAcentral is "Wolbachia sRNA 46". It matches the Rfam family "Wolbachia sRNA 46". Lineage: Eukaryota; Metazoa; Arthropoda; Insecta; Hymenoptera; Pteromalidae. The record is from Rfam by way of RNAcentral.